AUGGAUACUUCAGCUCCUUCACCAUUUGUCAAUGGAGAGACUCUGAAGAUGUUUCCUGGGCGACGAGUGCGCACAGUGGUUCAAGUCCAACACAAUGAAGGUGGAGUUCUUCUCGGGCUGUCCACUGAUGGACAUCAGUUGACUAUCAGAGGUGCCACUGGUGCCCCUGAACCACCACACUACAUUGAGGUUAUUGGGAUCGCUGACAGCAGCCUGUCCAUCCGUGCUGAAUCUUGCACUGAUUUUGGUGAAAACUUUGAUGGUGUGGCAUUCAACGGGCUAUGCAAGCUUGCGAAUGACAAGUACAAGUACCUGUUCCUGUAG
This 324-nucleotide ribosomal RNA is filed under the name Triticum aestivum (bread wheat). RNAcentral's name for it is "partial small subunit ribosomal RNA". The record is from RNAcentral. Lineage: Eukaryota; Viridiplantae; Streptophyta; Magnoliopsida; Poales; Poaceae.